AUGAACGCUAGCUACCGGCUUAACCCAUGCCAGUCGCGGGGCAGCAUGGGGGUUGCUUGCACUCCCCGAUGGCGACCGGCGCACGGGUGAGUAACGCGUAUCCAACCUGCCCUUCACCACGGGAUAACCCGGCGAAAGUCGGACUAAUACCGUAUGUUGUCCAUUGACGGCAUCCGAUUUGGACGAAAGGCUUGGCGGUGAGGGAUGGGGAUGCGUCCGAUUAGCCAGACGGCGGGGUAACGGCCCACCGUGGCUACGAUCGGUAGGGGUUCUGAGAGGAAGGUCCCCCACACUGGAACUGAGACACGGUCCAGACUCCUACGGGAGGCAGCAGUGAGGAAUAUUGGUCAAUGGGCGUAAGCCUGAACCAGCCAAGUAGCGUGCAGGAUGACGGCCCUAUGGGUUGUAAACUGCUUUUAUGCGGGGAUAAAGUGGCCCACGUGUGGGCUUUUGCAGGUACCGCAUGAAUAAGGACCGGCUAAUUCCGUG
RNAcentral lists this ribosomal RNA (489 nucleotides) under uncultured bacterium. RNAcentral describes it as "partial 16S ribosomal RNA". It matches the Rfam family "Bacterial small subunit ribosomal RNA", at positions 29 to 507 of the family's 1533-position model. The record is from RNAcentral.